UGCAGGACGCAGCAGUGGGAAUUUGGACAAUGAAACCUGGUCCAGCCAUCCGCGUGCAAAUGCGAUGAAGGCCUUCGGGUUGUAAGCACUUUGGCAGAAAGAAACGGCGCAGGAUAAUGCUCUCGUGCAGCUGGCGGUACCACAGAUAAGCACCGGCUAACUGAUGCUGGCAGCCGCGCGUUAAUACGUAGGGUGCAAGCGUUAAUCGGAAUUACUGGGCGUAGAGCGUGCGCAGGCGGCGGUUCGGAAGAAGAUGUGAAAUCCCGGAAAACGCUUUGGAACUGCAUUUUACUUCACCGAGCUAGAGAGUGUCAGGGAGAGUGGAAAUUCCGCGUGUGGCAGUGAGAUACGUAGAUAUGCGGAGAGAACCACCGAUGGCGAAGCAGCCUCUGGGGGAUAACACUGACGUAUUUUGGCGUGGGGAGCAAACGGAUUAGAUACCCCGGUAGU
RNAcentral lists this unclassified non-coding RNA (450 nucleotides) under uncultured Bordetella sp. RNAcentral's name for it is "partial 16S-23S ribosomal RNA intergenic spacer". It matches the Rfam family "Bacterial small subunit ribosomal RNA", at positions 340 to 794 of the family's 1533-position model. Lineage: Bacteria; Pseudomonadati; Pseudomonadota; Betaproteobacteria; Burkholderiales; Alcaligenaceae. The record is from RNAcentral.